UACGUAGGUGACCAGCGUUGUCCGGAUUUACUGGGCGUAAAGAGCGCGCAGGCGGUCGUUCAAGUCGAGUGUGAAAGCCCCCGGCUCAACUGGGGAGGGUCAUUCGAUACUGAUCGACUUGAAGGCAGGAGAGGGAAGCGGAAUUCCCGGUGUAGUGGUGAAAUGCGUAGAUAUCCGGAGGAACACCAGCGGCGAAGGCGGCUUUCUGGUCUGAUACUGACGCUGAGGCGCGAAAGCGUGGGGAGCGAUCCGG
Molecule: ribosomal RNA, 253 nt
Filed under: uncultured bacterium
Lineage: Bacteria
Description: partial 16S ribosomal RNA
Rfam family: Bacterial small subunit ribosomal RNA
Source: RNAcentral